GAGAACUAUGUGAGAAUCAUAGUCCCCAUAAGUCUAAGGUUUCCGACGGAAGGUCAAUCCGCGUCGGGUUAGUCGGGCCUAAGUCGAGGCCGAAGGGCGUAGGCGAUGGACAACGGGUUAAUAUUCCCGUACCACGUUAGGUCGUUAUGAGCGAAGGGGUGACGUAGGAGGAUAGGUUGGCCGGCCGUUGGUCGUGCCGGUGCCAAGCCUGUAGGUGAUGAGACCUGGGUUAAAAGACAGGUUGAGCCGAGGGGUUACGGCGAGCCCGCAAGGGUGGAAGCAACUGAGUCCAUACUAUCGAGAAAAGCCUCUAGCCAGACCUGCGUGACCGUACCGCAAACCGACACAGGUAGACGGGUAGAAAAUACCAAGGGGAACGGGAGAAUCUCUGUUAAGGAAUUAGGCAACAUAGCCCCGUAACUUCGGGAGAAGGGGCGCCCUGGUAGGUUGAAGGCGUUUAACAUGCUGGAGGCUGAGAGGGCCGCAGAGAAAUGGCUCUAGCGACUGUUUACCAAAAACACAGGUCUGUGCGAAGUCGAAAGACGAAGUAUACAGGCUGACACCUGCCCAGUGCCGGAAGGUUAAGGGGAGCGGUGCAAGCUGCGAACUGAAGCCCCGGUGAACGGCGGCCGUAACUAUAACGGUCCUAAGGUAGCGAAAUUCCUUGUCGGGUAAGUUCCGACCCGCACGAAAGGUGUAACGACUGGAGCACUGUCUCAACAGAGAACCCGGUGAAACUGAAAUAGGAGUGAAGAUGCUCUUUACCCGCAGCUGGACAAAAAGACCCCGUGGAGCUUUACUGUAGCUUGUCAUUGGAUUAGGGCUUUGCUUGUGUAGAAUAGGUAGGAGACGUAGAAGCUGGGCCGCCAGGUUCGGUGGAGUCGCCUGUGAAAUACCACUCUGGUGAAGUUUUGGUUCUAACCUUAGCCGUAAGCCGGCUAGGAGACAGUGGCAGGUGGGCAGUUUGACUGGGGCGGUCGCCUCCUAAAGAGUAACGGAGGCGCGCAAAGGUUCCCUCAGGCUGAAUGGAAACCAGUCGUAGAGUGCAAACGCAAAAGGGAGCUUGACUGCGAGACGGACAGGUCGAGCAGAGACGAAAGUCGGCGUUAGUGAUCCUAUGGCACCGAGUGGAAGGGCCAUGGCUCAUCGGAUAAAAGCUACCCCGGGGAUAACAGGCUAGUCUUCCCCAAGAGUUCACGUCGACGGGAAGGUUCGGCACCUGUGUGCCAGUUGUGUUGCCAAAUGCAUAGCUGGGUAGCUAAGUUCGGGAUGGAUAACCGCUGAAAGCAUCUAAGUGGGAAGCCGGCUCCGAGAUAAGUCCCCUCACAGGGUAACCUGGUAAGUGCGCUGGGAGACGACCAG
This 1362-nucleotide ribosomal RNA is filed under the name metagenome. RNAcentral's name for it is "bacterial LSU rRNA". It matches the Rfam family "Bacterial large subunit ribosomal RNA", at positions 1311 to 2851 of the family's 2925-position model. The record is from RNAcentral.